UAUUAAACCCAAAUUAAAAUCUAAUAUGAUCUAAUCAUGUUUGUAUUAUUUUCUAAAGAACUUAAAUGUACAUUAGAUGUAUUUUUCAUGUAUAAAAAACUAAAAUAUGUAAAAGAAAUAUUUUUAUGUAUUUAUGAAUUAAAAUGUGUAAAAAAAGAUUAAAAUGUGAAUUAAAGAAAAUAUAUUAAAAAUGUAAAAUAAAAAUGACAAAACGAAAUUAACAAAAAAACUAAAUCAGGGGGUGUAUGGGCCUAGGGGCGUGUAUGGAGGAAAUAGGGCAUUGGGCCUGGUCAGAAGGGGCCCAAAGUUGGUUUGUCUGUUGCAUCAGAACAAAGGAGGUAUGUGUCGAAUUAUGGGGUGUCGUCAGUAAAAAUCCAUGGGCCUAAUGGGAAAUCCCACAUGGAUUGGCCAUGCUAAUGGAAGGGGUAGAGCAUCAUAAACCUCAUUUCCAAUUUCACUUGUUUCUAUCUCGUCCUCGCUUGUCUCAGACGCACCUCGUCGGAGUUGGUUGCUUCGCCGCGCCGGAGGCGGCGGAGUGGUCCAAAACAACCACCACCACCACCAUUUUGUUCAUCUCCUUCCACUAUAUCCUAAUCUAACCUCCAUUCACUCCUAAAUUCAACCAAAUUUGAAAAUCGAACUGAAACCUUUAUGAACCCUAGGAUAAAAUAACAUAAAUUAAACGCAAGUAUGGAGGAAUGAAAGCCUAAUUCCGUAGGGCUUUGAUUCCUCAGGUGAGACCUCACAUGGAGGCAACAAUGAGUAAUGAGAAGAUCCUACCCACGAGGACGAGCUAUUCUCGGGUCAGCCUUGAAUUUGACACAAAUGAAGAUGAGGACGAAGAAACUGCAUUGAGGCAAACUUGGCUUGGUAUUGUGAAGGUUACGCAUGGCAUUAAUCAAAGUGGUGGAAUCAUCAUGGAACACACCAAAGGUCAUACAAAGGUUUGAAGACCAAGAUGAAAUGGCUCAUGCAUGAAAGAAAAAGUAGAAUCAGGGUUUCUUAGAAUACCUAGUUGACCAAAAAGUCAAUAGUUGACUAAAAGUCAACCUUAUGUGAAGACGUGUAAAUUUGUAUGGAAUUCUUGUAUUUUGGAUUUGUGAUAUGAUUUGAAAUGUUUUUGUAAUGAGAACGACAUCUUUUUUUUGAAUGAAUUGUAUAGCUUGAGUUCCAAGAAA
Long non-coding RNA from Lathyrus oleraceus (garden pea), 1178 nucleotides. RefSeq lists it as uncharacterized. The record is from RefSeq and is a predicted model, not a curated record. The transcript is spliced from 2 exons. NCBI's taxonomy places the organism in Eukaryota, Viridiplantae, Streptophyta, Magnoliopsida, Fabales, Fabaceae.